Molecule: ribosomal RNA, 164 nt
Filed under: Zeltnera muehlenbergii
Lineage: Eukaryota; Viridiplantae; Streptophyta; Magnoliopsida; Gentianales; Gentianaceae
Description: 5.8S ribosomal RNA
Rfam family: 5.8S ribosomal RNA
About the family: 5.8S ribosomal RNA (5.8S rRNA) is a component of the large subunit of the eukaryotic ribosome. It is transcribed by RNA polymerase I as part of the 45S precursor that also contains 18S and 28S rRNA.
Source: RNAcentral
AAUACGACUCUCGGCAACGGAUAUCUCGGCUCUCGCAUCGAUGAAGAACGUAGCGAACUGCGAUACUUGGUGUGAAUUGCAGAAUCCCGUGAACCAUCGAGUCUUUGAACGCAAGUUGCGCCCGAAGCCAUCAGGCCAAGGGCACGUCUGCCUGGGCGUCACGU